This is a long non-coding RNA of Portunus trituberculatus (swimming crab), 1945 nucleotides long. RefSeq lists it as uncharacterized. NCBI's taxonomy places the organism in Eukaryota, Metazoa, Arthropoda, Malacostraca, Decapoda, Portunidae. The record is from RefSeq and is a predicted model, not a curated record. The transcript is spliced from 2 exons.
CCCUAACCCCUCCUCCUACCCAAGCCUCCCCCACUACCACCACCACCACCACCACCACUGGAAAAUUGUCUGGAUGACCAAGAGAAACAGAAAAUGAGAGUGUCUAUGUAUUUACACCACCACCACCACCACCACCACCACCAGAAGGGUCAGUGUGGUGUGCCGCAGUUCACCACAGCACCACCACCACCACCACUGCCACCCUCAGCUCACGAAAUGUUUAGAGAGAGAGAGUGUGUGUGUGUGUGUAUGUAUGUAUGUAUGUAUUUUAAAAUUGAAAGAAAUAUUGACAUGACUUCAAUUUUUUGGUGUUGAGGUGACAUGAGGUGUGGUGUUGACAUGACUGGUGUGACAAGGUGUAGUGGUGUUGACAUGUUGGUACUGACUUGGGGAAAUGGCUUGAUAAGGUGGUGUAAUUCUUGACAUGACUAACUGAAGUGAGUUUUAUCAUUGAAGUGUCAAAAGGCAAGAUUGACAUGAGUAAGGGUAAUUGUUGUGGAAUUGAGUUAAAUAUUGACAUGACAGGGUUGAAAAAUGCUUAGAAAUUGAUAUGACGCAUUUAAAACAGACUUAAGAAUUGACAUGACUGUGAAAAGAAUUGUCAACAUGCAAGAUUGACAUGACUAGAAGAGUAAUAAUUUAAAAAGCCUUAAAAAUUGACAUGACCAAAAAAGAAGUGAGUGUUUGUCAGUGGUGCCAGAAUGCAAUAUUGAUAUGACUAGAAGGGCCGUGAUUGAGGAAAGACUUAAGAGAUUGACAUGACAAGCUUAUACGAGUGACGUGACAGGUUGAGGUAAUGUCAGGUAAUGUCAGGUGCAAUAUUAAUAUGAUUAGAGUGAAGUGAUGUGUUUUAGAAUUGAGAUGAGGUGAGAUUUUAAAGGUAAUGAUUAAGUUAACAUGUUUUGAAGUGUCACAUGUUGAAAAUUUUGACAUGAGGUUGACAUGAGUUGAAAUGUACAUGGCAGCAAGUAUUGAAGUGAUAUGAUUGAGAUGAUUAAAUUUAGAUAUAUUUUGAGAUAUGACAUGUUAAAAUUUUGACAUGACAAGACUGAUAUGAGCUGAAAUGUAUGUAGCAGCAAGUACUGAAGUGAUAAAAUAUUGAGAUGAUAAAAUUUAGACAUGUUUUGAGGUGUCACAUGUUAGAAAUUUUGACAUGACAAGGUUGAUAUGAGUUGAAAUGAAUUAUAUAAGUGAUUAAUAUGCAGGAAUGUUAAAAUAUUGAGAUGAUUAAAUUUGACAUGUUUUGAAGUGUAACAUGUUAAAAAUUUUGGCAUGAGGUUGACAUGAGUUGAAAUGUAUGUGAUAUGAGUUGAAAUGUAUAUGGCAGCAAAUAUUGAGAUGAUUAGAAUUUAGACAUACUUUGAAGUGAUAUGUUAAGAAUUUUGAUAUGAUGAGAUUGACAUGAGUUGAAAUGCAUGUGAUGAGUUGGCAGCAAAUAUAGAAGUGAUUAAGAUCCAGGAAUGUUAGAAUAUUGAGAUGAUUAAAAUUUAGACAUGCUUUGAAGUGACAUGUUGAAAAAUUUUGAUAUGACAAUCGACAUGACUUAAAACAAAACACCAAACACUGAAAUGACACCAAAACUGGAAAAAAAACACCAAAAACACCCUUGAGUAUACAUUUUAACAUCUUGACAUGAGUUGACAUGACAUCACUGUACUACUAUUACCCACAAGUCCACAGUAAGAGGUAAGGUGAGGGUAGGAGGGUGACAAGGCAGUAACAUCCUAAUAAAACAUGACAAGGGGGUUGACAUGACAUGGUUGAAGUGACAGAUUGGUCAUGUCAUAGUAAUGGUCCAAUGUUAGAAUAGAGAGAGAGAGAUUGAGUGUAAAUAUUGUGUGUGUGUGCGUAUGCGUGUGUGUGUGUGUGUGUACAGCAGUAGUUUAAAAAGUGACAUGACCUACUUAUUGUGACAUGAACUUUGCAAUGUCAACCGAUAAGACUU